GACGAACCGUGCGAACGUUGUUCGGAAUCACUGGGCUUAAAGGGCGCGUAGGCGGGCAUUCAAGUCGGUGGUGAAAUCCUCCAGCCUAACUGGAGAAGAGCUGUCGAUACUGGGUGCCUCGAGUGGUGCAGGGGUCUGCGGAACUUCGGGUGGAGCGGUGAAAUGCGUAGAUAUCUGGAGGAACACCGGUGGCGAAGGCGGCAUCCUGGACCGGUAUUGACGCUGAGGCGCGAAAGCGUGGGGAGCGAACAGG
RNAcentral lists this ribosomal RNA (253 nucleotides) under uncultured bacterium. RNAcentral's name for it is "partial 16S ribosomal RNA". It matches the Rfam family "Bacterial small subunit ribosomal RNA", at positions 524 to 776 of the family's 1533-position model. The record is from RNAcentral.